GUUCCUACGGGGGGCAGCAGUGAGGAAUAUUGGUCAAUGGUCGGGAGACUGAACCAGCCAAGCCGCGUGAGGGAUGAAGGUACAGAGUAUCGUAAACCUCUUUUGUCAGGGAACAAAGGCGGGGACGUGUCCCCGGAUGAGUGUACCUGAAGAAAAAGCAUCGGCUAACUCCGUGCCAGCAGCCGCGGUAAUACGGAGGGGGCAAGCGUUAUCCGGAUUCACUGGGGGUAAAGGGAGCGUAGACGGCGAGACAAGUCUGGAGUGAAAGGCCGGGGCCCAACCCCGGGACUGGUCUGGAAACUGCC
RNAcentral lists this ribosomal RNA (305 nucleotides) under uncultured bacterium. RNAcentral's name for it is "bacterial SSU rRNA". It matches the Rfam family "Bacterial small subunit ribosomal RNA", at positions 335 to 637 of the family's 1533-position model. The record is from RNAcentral.